Lolium perenne is the source of this 4361-nucleotide non-coding RNA. The record is from RefSeq and is a predicted model, not a curated record. NCBI's taxonomy places the organism in Eukaryota, Viridiplantae, Streptophyta, Magnoliopsida, Poales, Poaceae.
GUCGUUUUGUUCGUCGCGCUCCGUAUGGGCCAAGCCCAAUGAAACACAGGUAGUCGCGACUCUCGCAGACCCUCCGAGAAAGUCGCAAGCCCUCGCCAGUCCCGCAACGUAGCCGCCGCCAUGCGCAAAGAACGCUCCGAUCCGGCGCGAAACCGAGAGGGGAGUGCGGGCGGCCUUUGGAACCGAGACGCGACGGCGGGCGCCAUGAACGCGAGCGGUGUUGUUAUUGAGCCUUGUGUUAUGUUUGAGGGUUUGGAUGUUGGUAAAUUUGAUUGGGUUUCGAGGACUGGAGGACGUCGCCAGCCUGCACCCCGUGUACUCGCCGCUGCCUUGCACGACUCGAAGAUGCCGCGCCUCUGUACUCAUCCUCCUCCCCAACAUCCCUCUUGUGUGGCAGCGGUAGGUUUUCAUUCCAAGAUGUGUGGCGGCGCGUGAUGUUGAUCUUUAUAGGUGAGCAACCUACAUCGAUGUCCACGGUUCAGAGAGGAGAGGGGUAGAUCCAGCUUGGUAGCUUCGGGGAAAAAAGGGUAUAUAAGGAGUUGUGGCCUUCUCUCUGCAUACAACUCGUGGGCAGCUUCUUCUCUGCAUACAAGAAGUCUCCUCUACUCUGUUUCUGUAGCUGUUCCCUUCUCGAGAUCUUCUUCGAGUUCCUGAGAUCUGGUUGUAAACAGCCAAAAUGGUGAAGAUUUGCUGCAUCGGAGCUGGCUACGUCGGUGGCCCAACAAUGGCUAUCAUUGCCAUCAAGUGCCCAUCAAUUGAGGUUGUUGUCGUCGAUAUCUCCAAGCCUCGCAUUGACGCUUGGAACAGCGACACCCUCCCGAUCUACGAGCCUGGCCUCGAUGAUGUUGUCAAGGCCUGCAGGGGUAAGAACCUCUUCUUCAGCACCGAUGUCGAGAAGCACGUCGCCGAGGCCGACAUCAUCUUCGUCUCGGUGAACACUCCCACCAAGACCCGUGGUCUUGGAGCCGGCAAGGCUGCGGACCUCACCUACUGGGAAAGUGCUGCCUGUAUGAUCGCCGAUGUCUCCAAGUCUGACAAGAUCGUUGUCGAGAAGUCCACCGUCCCUGUGAAGACCGCAGAGGCCAUUGCUUCUGGUGUUCGUUGCGCAUCCACUCACCCCUGAAACCAUGAAUCCCGCUGCCCCCAAACCAUGUCCUGGACACUACCCAAACCCUAUCCCGCACACCACUCUGGUGUUCAUCGUCAGACUGCACCGGUGGCCUCACCAAUUUCACCCUGUCCUCUUUUAUGUUUAUCCUUGCCCAACAACGGCAAGAUCUCUGUCCUGCAAAUUGCAAUGGUGGCCACACAUGUUGCUUUCCACAAAUCACUCACUCCCUUCAAACUAUUGAUGCAUCAGCGCUAACCAUCUCUCAUUGUCUCCCUCCCGCAUUCUAUAUAUCUAAUGUUUGUGCUUAUUCUUUUUCCGCCAUUUUGACUUUAUUAGGAUUUAAUACUGAGAGAUUAUGUAAUUUCUCUAUAGACUUCAUAUCACAAGGAUGGGUGAUGAUUGGGAAAGCAUUGUUGUGCUCCCCCGCUCUUUCAAAUUCAGCCAACAAGACAAGUCAGCAUAAUUUGGACAGUUCCCAUUUUAAGCAUGUCAUAUUCAGACAUUGAGUUCAUUUCUCUGUGGUGCAUCCCUGUAUCAUCAUUGGUAUCGUAAUUCCAGGUCCUGAUUGAGUUGUGACUUGAAGAGAACCACUAAUAAAAUGUGCACGAUUUUCCUUCAGCUUUCUGCUCCAAUAUUCAGGCUCGGGGAACAUACAAAAUAUACCAUCUAUUGUGACUCAGACGUGCGAUCUGUAUCAAAGAAGCAAUUUGGGUGUCAAAGGCUGAGAUGAGGCCGAGCUGGGUGUUGAACUGGACCUGCCCCAUGCGACAAUCCACUCUGGUGAGGAACCCGGCGAUGAGUGCGCGCACAUGCACGACCUGCCUCUCCCACCGGCGGCGGUGCACCCGUGCGCAAGUUUACCUGUUGGCGGACACCCAGUGCACCGGCAUCUUCUGAAAUUCACCAAUCAUCAAUGUACUGAUAGCUAAGUGUUUACAAGAGUUAUCUUACACGAGUAGAGCAGAUUCCAGAUCAAAGGUAGUUAAUCCAUUAUUAUGUUCCUUCUUGUUUACUGCAAUCAAAUGUACUAAUAGGGCUUAGUUCAAUCCUGUAGAUCAGCUAUAGUUUACUGCAAGGUAUUCUUGAUGGUGCAUCACAGGAGUAUGACACCAUUCUGUGAUCACCCCUUAUUCCUUGCACUCUAAUUAUGAAAUGUGCAAGAGGAGCAAAUUCUUCAUUUAAUAUUUAUAAAUAUAUUUGUUUUCCGUUUCAUGUUGAUAAUGUUCUCUUGUUUGUAUUAUUUAAAUUGUUGGGUGUUAAACCUUAUAUAUUAGAGAAGCGGCAUACAGACUCCAAACUAUAUUAAUGCUCUGCGCCCAUAUUCUGAAGGUUGAGCCACUUCAUGGUCUUAUGAGUCUUUUCUGCUGUGUACUGGACAAAUUAUUCAUGCUUUUGUUUUGCUGAUAAAUGGUAUUUGAGUCGCGUUUCCGGAUUCCCAAUUUAGUUUUGAUAAUGACAAAGUAGAAAAGCAUAUCAACCUUGAGUUUUUUUAUGAAGGUGAGCUAAUAGACUUAUUAUAGUGCUUUCUUCAGUUCUAUAUAUCAGCUAUACUUUCAUGCAAGCUAUUCUUGAUGGUGCACCACAAGAAAAUGACAUCAUUUUGUAAGCACCCUUUCUUCCUUGCACUCUUACGUCCAUGCAUGUAAUAUACAAUGUCCAAAAGGAGCAUUCAACAUUUGAUAUUUAGAAAUUUAGUUCUCUUUCCGCAUGUUGAUAAUUCUCUCUUGUUUGUAUUAUUUAAAUCUUUGGCUGUUAAACGGUAAUAUAUUAGAGAAGCCGCAAGAUUUCCCAAAUCUGUUACUUAGUACUAAAUGCCAUGUGCAUACUGAUGUUGUGAUGUGAAAGUGUGGUAGAUAAGGUGGUGGAGCAGCUCUGUAUCAACUAUGGUACUCCUUUUGCCGAUUAUGGUUUUUCGUGAAAGAACUUGCAGAUGCUAUUCCGUUAGUUCAGACAAAAAAAACUUGUAGAGACUACUAUGCUACUCUGAGCCAUUAGCUCAGAAGAAACAACCUACAAGCUACUGUACUUCUUUGUGCCGUUAGUUCAGACAAACAUUUUAUGUUUUCCCUUCUUUUGCCACCCCGUAGGUUGUAAAUUUUAUCUUAGGUACAAUCCAUACUAGGUUAUAUAUGUAUUUAUAGCUCCCUCUCCUUUUCUAUCUUGCUGACUGAUUUAUUAAAGUUUUGGUGCAAAGGGGAUCAGAUCAGCUACCUCUUGUUUACGUGCAUUUUGUCUCAAAAAAUUCACUCCACAUGUUUAUGAGUUAAUAAGGUCUAGCUUCUUGAUAGAUUGUGUUGUAUUGGUAUGGCUUUUAAAUCAAUUUAUAGUUAUACUUGGUUGAAAAUAUAAUCUUUUCACUUUGUGUUAAAAUGAGCUAAUUUUAGUUGUUAUUGUCUUACAUGAAGGAAUUAAUGUCCAUUUUCAGUACUGAACCAACCCUCGCCAAACAACUACACUGUAGUGAAUUUGUUACUAGAUUUUGGUUACUACUUGAUAGUUUUCUUUUUGGAUUACAAGUGAGAGGCUCUGUGGAUUGUUUUCCACCAUCUUCGCCCUGCUAGCACCAGAAUAUUCUUAAAUGCUGGGGUAAUUUUCCUUUUAGCCAGAUGAAAUGUUGUAAGUUUGACUGAAAUGUUAUAAUCCCAGUGUGAUGCUCAAUAAUUGUGUAGUUUUGAUUAUUUUCUCGUAGGAGUGAAGAUGCGGAGAAAGACAUGGAGUAAUUAGCAAGUUAAUGCUCUUCUGUCGCUUGGUAUGUGGCUGUUAUGUGUAGAGUUGAAUAUUCAAUGACUAUGUGCAACUUAUGCCUUUGGUAUAUAGCUCGAAUGAGAGUUGAGAGUACUAAAGUGACUGUUGAGAGUGCCUUUUUCGUCAUUUUCUUUUGUGUUUUCUUUCCUCAUAUAUAAUUAACACGCUAAUGUGUCCAGGAUAGCUGAAAAUUGUUGUAAUACAUACUGUUCUAUUCAUUUGGAUUGCAGAGAUGUAGAAACAACCGUUUCACCCUUAAGUAGGGUGGAAUGAACAAUUUCACAUGUCAGCAGGCUGACCACCAUGCGAUUAUAAUACAACCUGCUCCACCAUGAUCUUGUGCCAGACCAGCUUGGACAAGGGGCACUCAAGCAUCAGGUGCCGCAUGGCACUUUGGUACAACAACCACUGAUAGUUGUGUUGUAAAAGGAGUUUUGAAUUGCUGACCUCAUGUUGACAAUUUUAUUGUUGUAAUGGGGAAGCACAGUUUGUUGUUUAUGCAUAA